GCGGGCGCCCCGGAAGUGGUCGCCGCCGGCCCGGAAGGAGACUCUGCAGCCCUCCGUCCGCUCCUGGAGCGCGCGGAUUUCUGCCCUGGCGCAAGGCGAGGGCUGCGUGUUUAAGGACAAUUUGAACGGGCAUGGUUUUUUGGAGAAGUGAGUGUGCAGAUGCAGAAAGAACGCGUUCUGGGGCGGACGUGCAUUCAGCUGGGCCAUUUGCCACUUACAUCAUCCGCAGGGUCCCUCCGGCUACUUAUGGGGUUUUUGGGAUCCCUGUGUGAGACCCCUCGUGACCGCUGGUUCGAACUAGACCGACGGCGUUGGCGCCUUCCUCCAGUUCGUCUGGCUCCGGGGAGGAGGAUGGCCCAGGAUCUGGAGGCGCUGGCCUGGGCCAGGCGCAGUGUGUGGCCGAAGCGGGGCCAGCGCGGCGAUCUCCGCAGAGCGCCCAGUGCCCGACCUUGGCGCGGAGGGCAUCGCCCUUUCCAGCUGUUAGGAUUCACUGGCCUUUGGGUCCUGUGGAUGGUGACACAGUUGGAACAGCUCCUGUAUUUGGGGAUUCAAGCCCUUGCAGCAGACCGCUUGGCCAAACUCAGGAAGACCUUGGUUUAGGUUGUCUCGUCUGUCCCGGAUUAAGUUUAGAAACAGGACCCCUUAUCCACCCUAGCAGAAUAGACAUUCACGUUUAGGGAGGUGAUGCGUUGGAAUUUGGACGUGAGACAGAGCUGUACUUAGCCUAGCUCUAUCAUUCACUAGGUGUGAGACUUCAGACAAAUUACAUAGCCUUUCUCCCGUCUCUAUGUCAUGUUUGUAAAAUGACUAAUAGUAAAUGCUUGCCUGAUAGGAAUUUUGCUUUAAGAAUUAAAUGGGACUGUGAAUUGUAUGUAUGGUGCCUGCCCUUAAUCAUUUAUUCAACAACUGAUUACUGUCAUUACUUGCUCUUGCAAGACUGUCCCAACUAGCUUGCUCUAAGUGUAUGACUUUCUUCCUUCAGAAAGACUUGUUUUGACAGAGUAAUAAUUUUCAAGAACUGUUAAGGUAGCAGAAUCUGCUUCUCCCCUUUUAUCCCCCAAAAGUCUAUGGGGACUUCUAAUAUAUAAAAUCGAUGCAGUUACCGUGUUUGAGUGAGAGCCCAAGCGGUAGGACUGAGGCCUAAAUGUACCUUCCUCUAGCCUUUUCCAGGAGCUACCCCCCAUCCCCGUCUCUCUUGGGGACCCUACAGCACCUGCCCAGGACCCUGGGAUUCCAGGGAGCAUAGUUUGAAAACUCCAAGUUGAAGUGUUUCUUCCAUCUCAGAGC
Molecule: long non-coding RNA, 1287 nt
Filed under: Equus caballus (horse)
Lineage: Eukaryota; Metazoa; Chordata; Mammalia; Perissodactyla; Equidae
Description: lncRNA (ENSECAG00000045689.1)
Source: RNAcentral